RNAcentral lists this transfer RNA (70 nucleotides) under Dipodomys ordii (Ord's kangaroo rat). It matches the Rfam family "tRNA". From Rfam's summary of the family: Transfer RNA (tRNA) molecules are approximately 80 nucleotides in length. Their secondary structure includes four short double-helical elements and three loops (D, anti-codon, and T loops). The record is from Rfam by way of RNAcentral. Lineage: Eukaryota; Metazoa; Chordata; Mammalia; Rodentia; Heteromyidae.
GGGAAUGUAGCUUAGUGGUAGAGUGCUUGCCUAGUAUGCAUGAAGUCCUGGGUUUUAUUCCUCAGUACCA